AUUAGGGUUUCUUCUUUUGUU
RNAcentral lists this small RNA (21 nucleotides) under Arabidopsis thaliana (thale cress). Its description in RNAcentral is "ATSL222110". The record is from RNAcentral. Lineage: Eukaryota; Viridiplantae; Streptophyta; Magnoliopsida; Brassicales; Brassicaceae.